GAUGAACGCUGACCGAAUGCUUAACACAUGCAAGUCUACUUGAACUUCGGUUUGGGUGGCGGACGGGUGAGUAACGCGUAAAGAACUUGCCUCACAGAUAGGGACAACAUUUGGAAACGAAUGCUAAUACCUGAUAUUAUGAUUUUAGGGCAUCCUAGAAUUAUGAAAGCUAUAUGCACUGUGAGAGAGCUUUGCGUCCCAUUAGCUAGUUGGAGAGGUAACGGCUCACCAAGGCGAUGAUGGGUAGCCGGCCUGAGAGGGUGAUCGGCCACAAGGGGACUGAGACACGGCCCGUACUCCUACGGGAGGCAGCAGUGGGGAAUAUUGGACAAUGGACCAAGAGUCUGAUCCAGCAAUUCUGUGUGCACGAUGAAGUUUUUCGGAAUGUAAAGUGCUUUCAGUUGGGAAGAAAAAAAUGACGGUACCAACAGAAGAAGAGACGGCUAAAUACGUG
RNAcentral lists this ribosomal RNA (454 nucleotides) under uncultured bacterium. Its description in RNAcentral is "partial 16S ribosomal RNA". It matches the Rfam family "Bacterial small subunit ribosomal RNA", at positions 28 to 507 of the family's 1533-position model. The record is from RNAcentral.